This 86-nucleotide transfer RNA is filed under the name Bacteroidota bacterium. RNAcentral describes it as "Bacteroidetes bacterium (groundwater metagenome) tRNA-Leu". It matches the Rfam family "tRNA". From Rfam's summary of the family: Transfer RNA (tRNA) molecules are approximately 80 nucleotides in length. Their secondary structure includes four short double-helical elements and three loops (D, anti-codon, and T loops). Further hydrogen bonds mediate the characteristic L-shaped molecular structure. tRNAs have two regions of fundamental functional importance: the anti-codon, which is responsible for specific mRNA codon recognition, and the 3' end, to which the tRNAs corresponding amino acid is attached (by aminoacyl-tRNA synthetases). tRNAs cope with the degeneracy of the genetic code in two manners: having more than one tRNA (with a specific anti-codon) for a particular amino acid; and 'wobble' base-pairing, i.e. permitting non-standard base-pairing at the 3rd anti-codon position. Lineage: Bacteria; Pseudomonadati; Bacteroidota. The record is from RNAcentral.
GCCGAAGUGGCGAAAUUGGCAGACGCACUAGACUCAAAAUCUAGCGAGGUUUACCCCUCGUGCCGGUUCGAGUCCGGCCUUCGGCA